RNAcentral lists this ribosomal RNA (486 nucleotides) under uncultured bacterium. Its description in RNAcentral is "partial 16S ribosomal RNA". It matches the Rfam family "Bacterial small subunit ribosomal RNA", at positions 30 to 507 of the family's 1533-position model. The record is from RNAcentral.
AUUGAACGCUGGCGGCAUGCCUUACACAUGCAAGUCGAACGGCAGCACGGGUGCUUGCACCUGGUGGCGAGUGGCGAACGGGUGAGUAAUACAUCGGAACAUGUCCUGUAGUGGGGGAUAGCCCGGCGAAAGCCGGAUUAAUACCGCAUACGAUCUACGGAUGAAAGCGGGGGACCUUCGGGCCUCGCGCUAUAGGGUUGGCCGAUAGCUGAUUAGCUAGUUGGUGGGGUAAAGGCCUACCAAGGCGACGAUCAGUAGCUGGUCUGAGAGGACGACCAGCCACACUGGGACUGAGACACGGCCCAGACUCCUACGGGAGGCAGCAGUGGGGAAUUUUGGACAAUGGGCGAAAGCCUGAUCCAGCAAUGCCGCGUGUGUGAAGAAGGCCUUCGGGUUGUAAAGCACUUUUGUCCGGAAAGAAAUCCUUGGCUCUAAUACAGUCGCGGGAUGACGGUACCGGAAGAAUAAGCACCGGCUAACUACGUG